AAUGCUUUACACAUGCAAGUCGAGCGGCAGCGCGGGGCAACCUGGCGGCGAGCGGCGGACGGGUGAGUAAUGCAUCGGAACAUGUCCAUUGAUGGGGGAUAGCCCGGCGAAAGCCGGAUUAAUACCGCAUGAGCCCGAGAGGGGAAAGUGGGGGACCGCAAGGCCUCACGUCGAUGGGUUGGCCGAUGCCCGAUUAGCUAGUUGGUGAGGUAAUGGCUCACCAAGGCGAUGAUCGGUAGCUGGUCUGAGAGGAUGAUCAGCCACACUGGGACUGAGACACGGCCCAGACUCCUACGGGAGGCAGCAGUGGGGAAUUUUGGACAAUGGGGGCAACCCUGAUCCAGCCAUUCCGCGUGAGUGAAGAAGGCCUUCGGGUUGUAAAGCUCUUUUGUCCGGAGCGAAAANGUUACGGUGAAUAUCCGUGACUACUGACGGUACCGGAAGAAUAAGCACCGGCUAACUACGUGCCAGCAGCCGCGGUAAUAC
Molecule: ribosomal RNA, 486 nt
Filed under: uncultured beta proteobacterium
Lineage: Bacteria; Pseudomonadati; Pseudomonadota; Betaproteobacteria
Description: bacterial SSU rRNA
Rfam family: Bacterial small subunit ribosomal RNA
Source: RNAcentral